Poecilia reticulata (guppy) is the source of this 2424-nucleotide non-coding RNA. The record is from RefSeq and is a predicted model, not a curated record. NCBI's taxonomy places the organism in Eukaryota, Metazoa, Chordata, Actinopteri, Cyprinodontiformes, Poeciliidae.
AGGGUCUUGGCGCAAUUAAUCACCCUUGUGUACCAGCCGCUCUGUGCUACGCUACAACUUCUCCCCUACCAUGAAUGCUCAGGCUAGUUAGCAUGGUCCCCAUUGACGGCGGAUAGAUGGUUAUCCUGGAACGCGGGGAGUUUCGCAUCGAGGUCUGAUGCCAUACGGUGCCGGACGCCUUUUAGCAAAGAGGCUAGGCAUUCCUCCCAGCAUCUGUUUAAUCUCCUUCUUGACCCGGUGACAUCAACAUUCCUGGGGAUGAGCAUGCUGUCAGCCGCCUGCUUAACUCUUGCAGACAUGACUAGCUUAAGCAAACCAUUUCACUGAUACGACAGGUUAAUGUGACCUGGUUAUAUUCCACGCUGACAAAUAGGUUACCAUGUCUGCUAAGGGAAUAUUUUCAAGAAAACUCCUUUCUUCUGUCUUCUGGUACUUUAAAGUUACUAACAUUCAUGUAAGUGACUGACUGACUAACUUAGAGGGUGUGAAAUGUUUUUUUUUUUUUAAAGUCAGAUACAGAAAGAUAUAAAAGUUCAAACAUGAUAUUCAGUUAAAGCUCAACUCAUGUUCGUGUUCCAGCUUUUUGUCCUGCUGUAGAGUCAAACCUUUGCUAAGCGGAGCAGCAAUUAGCCUUAAGCUAUGUAUUAUUAUGGAGUCUAUUUAAUCUUAUUUAGGCUGUUGCAGCAUACAGAAACGUACUGUAGUCACAAAAGUACAAAUCCUUAUAAUUAACUCCACCAACCGUAGAUGUCUAUCAAUUCCUUUCCAUUUGAAAACUUUGCGAAGUAGCUCAGUUGUUGCUAGCGCUAAUUUGAUUUAGCACCAGUUAGCUGAUGGGUUCUGUUAAAGCAGCGUUAAUUGUGUUGAUAGGGAACAGAAGUGUAAUGUUUGGGGCUGUAGCUCCAACAACAGUGGUGAUUUUUGCAUGAGUGUCUCUCUUAGUGAGCAGAGCACCUUCGUAGUUCCCUGAUAAUUCACAAUAUUAGGCUUAAAAGAAAUUAAAAGAGGGUAGAAAAAGACCAGGAGAGAUUGAGUCUCAAUCAUUUCAACUCAUUGUCUCCAUUUAAGAUCGUCUUCAUGAAAAAGAGGGGAAAGAACUUAGACAAUGAACUAUUUGGUGUAAUUUUACAAACUGAACGAAGAGGCUUAGCAACAGCCACCUCCACCUUGUGACAUUAUGCAGUCUAGGACGAUGAGUCAUAAUGCUCACAUCAAAAACAAACCCUGUCAUCUACAUCAACGUUCAUGAUAAUUAGCAUUAAAGCUGUUUAGAUUGGAAACGUAACUUCGCUAUCGUCCUCAAAUACUGCUGCUUCUGUUCUGAAGUUUGCUAAAUCAAGUUUUUUAAGGGUUUGUUGAGCAACUCUUUUCCUUCCUGUGCCUUUGCAGACAAGAUUUUUGUUUAUUUAAAUUCUCGGAGAACUGAUUUAUGGCAACGUGAAAGGGUAACACACAAUACAACAUUUUUCAACAGUAAACAGAAAUUGCAUGUAGGAACUGUGGCUGAACUUUGGUUAUGUGUCAAAUAUUUCUCUUCAUGAUUUUAUCUUGUGGCCCCGGGGCGAGCCGCAAAAAGCAGGAAGCUUCCCGGGGAGAAGAUAGAGCUGCGAGUGUUCGAAACAUGCCGGUGCUUUUUGUUGCACUGCCAAACUGGGCCAUGUCCAACCGGUUAUUUUACUAUUCAUCAGUCAAUUGACAUGACGGGUCAUUAAUCCAAAUGAAUGAACCACAAAUUGAAUUAAAUCCCAGUACACGAGAGCUGUGGUUUUUGGCUUGUCGGAGGUUAAAGUAAAUGUGGCCCCGAGUCGGAGGUUCAGGAAUCGCUAGCUACGCAAAGGCAUGAGGUCAUUUAAGUGCAAUAUUAAAGUAAUUUUAACUUGAGACACUUAGGGAAGAAGACAUUUUAUUUAAAUUGUUGUUAUUUUAAACCAUAAUACAUAAUUCCAGUUUGCAUUACAUUUUAUUUUCUUCAGUCACAAACUGAAACAGAAUUUUAGAUAACUUGUAUCAUUUUAAUAAAUUUUUUGCCAUCAAUGUUGGCGCUCACAGGGAUAAAUGGAAGUGAAUGCAUCAGUGUAUGUGCCAUUUCCUGCGUGUUUUUAAUGAAUUCAUUAUCGAACUGUGUUCCAUUAGCGUACCUAACCUGAAAAAAGUUUGGUGAUUGAUGCUGAAUAUUACGUGUGAAAGCUCAAACAUACCUGUAGUGGCACGAGGCGUCCUGGUGAGAGACGUAAUCGCAUCGUGACAACCUGCAUGUCAGCUGGGUUUUUAAUUACUCAAAGUUUUCUUUUGGUUUGCCACAUCUUUUAUUAAACCGCUGCACAGUGUCCUUAACUCGCUGUAGAUUUAGGUAUUAACUAUCCAUUUUGUCCCUGGUCCUGGGUGAAGUUGGCUAAAUGUUUGCAAUUACCUUUUUUUUUUUUU